This 253-nucleotide ribosomal RNA is filed under the name uncultured bacterium. Its description in RNAcentral is "partial 16S ribosomal RNA". It matches the Rfam family "Bacterial small subunit ribosomal RNA", at positions 524 to 776 of the family's 1533-position model. The record is from RNAcentral.
UACGUAGGAGACAAGCGUUGUCCGGAAUUACUGGGUGUAAAGCGCGUGUAGGUGGUAGGCCAAGUCUGCUGUGAAAUCGCCCGGCUUAACUGGGCGCGGUCGGUGGAAACUGGUCAACUGGAGGACGGUAGAGGCGAGUGGAAUUCCCGGUGUAGUGGUGAAAUGCGUAGAGAUCGGGAGGAACACCAGUGGCGAAGGCGGCUCGCUGGGCCGGUCCUGACACUGAGACGCGAAGGCGUGGGGAGCGAACGGG